ACAGGGAUUGCCCUAGUAACGGCGAGUGAAGCGGCAACAGCUCAAAUUUGAAAUCUGGUUCUUUCAGAGCCCGAGUUGUAAUUUGCAGAGGGAGCUUUGGCAUUGGAAGCAGUCUAAGUUCUUUGGAACAGGACGUUACAGAGGGUGAGAAUCCCGUAUGUGGCUGCUAUACUUUGCUAUGUAAAGCCUCUUUGACGAGUCGAGUUGUUUGGGAAUGCAGCUCUAAAUGGGAGGUAAAUUUCUUCUAAAGCUAAAUACUGGCCAGAGACCGAUAGCGCACAAGUAGAGUGAUCGAAAGAUGAAAAGCACUUUGGAAAGAGAGUCAAAUAGCACGUGAAAUUGUUGAAAGGGAAGCGCUUAUAGCCAGAAUUGCCUGCAGUUGCUUAACUAGACCAUUGUUUGGUGCACUCUUCUGCAGGCAGGCCAGCAUCAGUUUGGGUGGUUGGAUAAAGGUCUCUGUCAUGUACCUCACUUUUAGGGAGGCCUUAUAGGGGAGACGACAUGCAACCAACCCAGAUUGAGGCCCGCGCAUUUUGCUAGGAUGCUGGCAUAAUGGCUGUAAGCGGCCCGUCUUGAAACACGGACCAAGGAGUCUAACAUCUAUGCGAGUGUUUGGGUGUCAAGCCCAGACGCGCAAUGAAAGUGAACGGAGGUGGGAACCCUUUGGGUGCACCAUCGACCGAUCCUGACGUUUUCAGAAGGAUUUGAGUAAGAGCAUAGCUGUUGGGACCCGAAAGAUGGUGAACUAUGCUUGAAUAGGGUGAAGCCAGAGGAAACUCUGGUGGAGGCUCGCAGCGGUUCUGACGUGCAAAUCGAUCGUCAAAUUUGGGCAUAGGGGCGAAAGACUAAUCGAACUAUCUAGUAGCUGGUUCCUGCCGAAGUUUCCCUCAGGAUAGCAGUAACGUAUUCAGUUUUAUGAGGUAAAGCGAAUGAUUAGAGGCCUGGGGGUUGAAACAACCUUCACCUAUUCUCAAACUUUAAAUAUGUAAGAAGUCCUUGUUACUUGAUUGAACGUGGACAUUUGAAUGUACCGUUACUAGUGGGCCAUUUUUGGUAAGCAGAACUGGCGAUGCGGGAUGAACCGAACGCGGGGUUAAGGUGCCAGAAUAUACGCUCAUCAGACACCACAAAAGGUGUUAGUUCAUCUAGACAGCAGGACGGUGGCCAUGGAAGUCGGAAUCCGCUAAGGAGUGUGUAACAACUCACCUGCCGAAUGAACUAGCCCUGAAAAUGGAUGGCGCUCAAGCGUAUUACCCAUACCCCGCCGCCAGGGCAGAACUUAUGCCCUGGCGAGUAGGCAGGCGUGGAGGUUUGUGACGAAGCCUUGG
This 1328-nucleotide ribosomal RNA is filed under the name Leptosphaeria allorgei. Its description in RNAcentral is "LSU rRNA". It matches the Rfam family "Eukaryotic large subunit ribosomal RNA", at positions 68 to 1414 of the family's 3401-position model. The record is from RNAcentral. Lineage: Eukaryota; Fungi; Ascomycota; Dothideomycetes; Pleosporales; Leptosphaeriaceae.